UAAGCAGGACAGACGAUCGCGGCCGCGCGAAAGCGCGGGUGAGGAAAGUCCGGGCUUCACAGGGCAGGAUGCCGGAUAACGUCCGGUGGAGGAAACUCCCAGGCCAGUGCAACAGAAAUAUACCGCCUGCGUGAAAGCGCAGGUAAGGGUGGAAAGGCAGUGUAAGAGACUACCGUCCGUCUGGUAACAGGCGGAGCCAUGUAAACCCCAUCCGAAGCAAGACCAAGCAGAGAACGAUAGGCUUGCCCGGCCUGUUCUCAGGUGGGUCGCUUGAUGCGGCUGGCAACAGUCGUACUAGAUAGAUGAUCGUCCAACGACAGAACCCGGCUUAUCGUUCUGCUUACGCU
This 347-nucleotide RNase P RNA is filed under the name Lachnospiraceae bacterium. Its description in RNAcentral is "RNase P RNA component class A". It matches the Rfam family "Bacterial RNase P class A". Rfam says of the family: Ribonuclease P (RNase P) is a ubiquitous endoribonuclease, found in archaea, bacteria and eukarya as well as chloroplasts and mitochondria. Its best characterised activity is the generation of mature 5'-ends of tRNAs by cleaving the 5'-leader elements of precursor-tRNAs. Lineage: Bacteria; Bacillati; Bacillota; Clostridia; Lachnospirales; Lachnospiraceae. The record is from RNAcentral.